UUCCUGUACUUGGUGUUACUGCGAAGGGGGGACGGAGAAGGCUAUGUUAGCCGGGCGACGGUUGUCCCGGUUUAAGCAUGUAGGCUGAUUAUCCAGGCAAAUCCGGAUAAUCAAGGCUGAGGUGUGAUGACGAGGCACUACGGUGCUGAAGUAACAAAUGCCCUGCUUCCAGGAAAAGCCUCUAAGCAUCAGGUAACAUCAAAUCGUACCCCAAACCGACACAGGUGGUCAGGUAGAGAAUACCAAGGCGCUUGAGAGAACUCGGGUGAAGGAACUAGGCAAAAUGGUGCCGUAACUUCGGGAGAAGGCACGCUGGUGUGUAGGUGAAGUCCCUGCGGAUGGAGCUGAGACCAGUCGAAGAUACCAGC
Molecule: ribosomal RNA, 368 nt
Filed under: Acinetobacter baumannii
Lineage: Bacteria; Pseudomonadati; Pseudomonadota; Gammaproteobacteria; Moraxellales; Moraxellaceae
Description: bacterial LSU rRNA
Rfam family: Bacterial large subunit ribosomal RNA
Source: RNAcentral